AGACCCGAAACCCGGUGAUCUAGCCAUGGGCAGGUUGAAGGUUGGGUAACACUAACUGGAGGACCGAACCGACUAAUGUUGAAAAAUUAGCGGAUGACCUGUGGCUGGGGGUGAAAGGCCAAUCAAACCGGGAGAUAGCUGGUUCUCCCCGAAAGCUAUUUAGGUAGCGCCUCGUGAAUUCAUCUCCGGGGGUAGAGCACUGUUUCGGCUAGGGGGCCAUCCCGGCUUACCAACCCGAUGCAAACUGCGAAUACCGGAGAAUGUUAUCACGGGAGACACACGGCGGGUGCUAACGUCCGUCGUGAAGAGGGAAACAACCCAGACCGCCAGCUAAGGUCCCAAAGUCAUGGUUAAGUGGGAAACGAUGUGGGAAGGCCCAGACAGCCAGGAUGUUGGCUUAGAAGCAGCCAUCAUUUAAAGAAAGCGUAAUAGCUCACUGGUCGAGUCGGCCUGCGCGGAAGAUGUAACGGGGCUAAACCAUGCACCGAAGCUGCGGCAGCGACACUCAGGUGUUGUUGGGUAGGGGAGCGUUCUGUAAGCCUGCGAAGGUGGCCUGUGAGGGUUGCUGGAGGUAUCAGAAGUGCGAAUGCUGACAUAAGUAACGAUAAAGCGGGUGAAAAGCCCGCUCGCCGGAAGACCAAGGGUUCCUGUCCAACG
RNAcentral lists this ribosomal RNA (657 nucleotides) under Salmonella enterica. RNAcentral describes it as "partial 23S ribosomal RNA". It matches the Rfam family "Bacterial large subunit ribosomal RNA", at positions 711 to 1364 of the family's 2925-position model. The record is from RNAcentral. Lineage: Bacteria; Pseudomonadati; Pseudomonadota; Gammaproteobacteria; Enterobacterales; Enterobacteriaceae. RNAcentral also lists the same sequence under 3 other names.